Scylla paramamosain (green mud crab) is the source of this 1459-nucleotide long non-coding RNA. RefSeq lists it as uncharacterized. The transcript has 4 exons. NCBI's taxonomy places the organism in Eukaryota, Metazoa, Arthropoda, Malacostraca, Decapoda, Portunidae. The record is from RefSeq and is a predicted model, not a curated record.
CACACACACACACACACACACACACACACACACACACACACACACACACACACACACACACACACACACACACACACACACACACACACACACACACACACACACACACACACACACACACACACACACACACACACAGCAGCCCCUCCACCUCCUCACAGCCCUCCACAGCCUCUGACGCAGCCCCUGACACAGCCCCUGACACAGCAUCUGACACAGCCCCUUCACAGACCACCACAUACCUCACACACACCACAGGAGUCUCACAAACAGUCUCACAGCCUUCACAAGCAGCCCCACACUCCACCACAGACACACCAGACCCACAGCCCUUCACCUCACCCAUUUCCCAGCUCCCCACAGCCCCUCAGCCACCACAAAUGAAGCCAAAGGAAGGGACUGUGGCUUCACCCAACCAGUCAGGAGAGCCUACAGAGAGGGGGUAGUCACAGUCAAGUCUCAAAAUAUAGGCUUGGUUCUUCCUACAGUUUGAAGUCAGUGAUUGGACAGGUGGAAAGGCCAGACAGCUUAGUGGCAGAGCUGCUGGUGGCCCUCGUCAGCUUCCUGGUGGUACAGGUGUAGGACGGCUGGGAGCAGUGGAGGUGCCUGGUGGAGCAGCUGUGCCGGGCAGAGGGGCUGCUGCUGCUGCUGCUGCUGCUGCUGGGGAGAGCCACACUUGUAUGGUGGUAACACGGAGAGGAAGUGGAAGAAACCUUGGAACGCUCCCAUAACUCAAGAGCAAGAAAUACACCUUACUGGAAACCUUGUGACUGACAGGUGGUGGUGACUGCAGGAACCAAUUCAGAUGUCUGUCUUGUGCUGGCGAACGUCCUGUCUGCAGUCAGGCCAGUAGUGCUAUGUCGCAGGGUGUGACAUCAGGUGAAGAGCCAAAUGGAGAGUGUCUGCAGCCAGUACUGGGUGUGCUGAUGCUGUACAAGUGUCGAGCCAGGUGCCACAGCACAUGACUCCACCAGUGUAGUGUCUCUAGUCCAGGAUGCACUGCUGUGUACGACUUGUAUGUCUUUAUAAAUUUGUGACUAUUCUUAUUAUAUUUGUGAAAUAAGACUUGUAUGUCUUUGCUAAUAAAUAAAUAUUUGUGACUAUUCUUAUUAUAUAUGUGAAAUAAAUAUAUAGUUAGCUAACAGUGUGGUAUAAUAGUGUAAAAAUAAAUAUUUGAUAAUUCAUGCAUGCCCCAAAGGUAAAAAAAAAAAAAAAAAAAACAGGAUUGUGCCCUCUAAACUUUUAAGAUACCACUUGCACAUAAAAGCCCCGUCCCAGUGACUCCAGUGUCGGCUGGGAUGGGGCUUCUAUGUGCAAAUGAUAUCUUAAACAAAGGUUAGUAGCCAAUCCUGGCUUUUUUUUUUUUUUUUUUUUUUGCCUUGAGGGCAUGACCUGUACUCCCAGAAAGACUAUUUGCCAAAGAUAUUAUUGACAUGGCAUAAAUAACUAUCAUUAUGUU